UACGUAGGGUGCGAGCGUUGUCCGGAAUUAUUGGGCGUAAGGAGCUCGUAGGCGGCUUGUCGCGUCGGAUGUGAAAGCCCGGGGCUUAACUCCGGGUCUGCAUUCGAUACGGGCAGGCUAGAGUUCGGUAGGGGAGAUCGGAAUUCCUGGUGUAGCGGUGAAAUGCGCAGAUAUCAGGAGGAACACCGGUGGCGAAGGCGGAUCUCUGGGCCGAUACUGACGUGAGGAGCGAAAGCGUGGGGAGCGAACAGG
This 252-nucleotide ribosomal RNA is filed under the name uncultured bacterium. RNAcentral describes it as "partial 16S ribosomal RNA". It matches the Rfam family "Bacterial small subunit ribosomal RNA", at positions 524 to 776 of the family's 1533-position model. The record is from RNAcentral.